RNAcentral lists this ribosomal RNA (377 nucleotides) under uncultured bacterium. RNAcentral's name for it is "bacterial SSU rRNA". It matches the Rfam family "Bacterial small subunit ribosomal RNA", at positions 521 to 896 of the family's 1533-position model. The record is from RNAcentral.
UAAUACAGAGGGUGCGAGCGUUAAUCGGAAUUACUGGGCGUAAAGGGUGCGUAGGUGGUUUCGUAAGUUAGGUGUGAAAGUCCUGGGCUUAACCUGGGGAUUGCGCCUGAUACUGCGAAGCUAGAGUACUGUAGAGGAAAGUGGAAUUUCCGGUGUAGCGGUGAAAUGCGUAGAUAUCGGAAGGAACAUCGGUGGCGAAGGCGACUUUCUGGACAGCUACUGACACUGAGGCACGAAAGCAUGGGGAGCAAACAGGAUUAGAUACCCUGGUAGUCCAUGCUGUAAACGAUGAGGACUGGCUGUUGGGUGCCCUUGGGCACUUAGUAGCGAAGCUAACGCGUUAAGUUCUCCGCCUGGGGAGUACGGCCGCAAGGUUA